RNAcentral lists this ribosomal RNA (621 nucleotides) under Triticum aestivum (bread wheat). RNAcentral describes it as "partial small subunit ribosomal RNA". The record is from RNAcentral. Lineage: Eukaryota; Viridiplantae; Streptophyta; Magnoliopsida; Poales; Poaceae.
AUGCCAAAAGCUUCACAUGAGUAUGCUUGUCGUCUAGUUGGUGGCCCUAACAACCUUGGUUACACUUGCCGUGACCGAAAGAACCAUUUGCGAAGCAAGCGGCAGCGGGAGUUGGCUUAUGGACAGGCUGGAAGUAUGUUGAAUUAUUUUCGUGACAAGCAGGCUGAGAAUGCAGCAUUCCAAUACCAUUUGCAGUUGGAUAGUGAGGAGCAUAUAGCCAACAUAUUCUGGGUUGAUGCUAAAAUGCUACUUGACUAUGCACACUUUGGCGAUGUUGUCACAUUUGACACUACAUUUGGCACAAACAAAGAGUAUAGGCCAUUUGGUAUUUUUCUUGGGCUAAACUAUUUCAGAAAAACAAUCAUUUUUGGUGCUGCAUUGAUGUUCGAUGAAACACGUGACUCCUUUAUAUGGCUCUUUGAGACUUUUCUAGCCGCACAUAAUGGAAGGCAACCUAGAACUAUCUAUACAGAUCAAGAUGUUGCAAUGGGAAAAUCCAUAGAAAAGGUCUUCACAGAAUCAUAUCAUGGAUUGUGCACCUUCCAUAUAAUGCAAAAUGCUGUCAAACACUUAACUUCUGUGAAGGGCGAAGAAAAAGAUGGAAGUGGAAGAGAGAGAUGA